Nerophis ophidion (straightnose pipefish) is the source of this 483-nucleotide long non-coding RNA. RefSeq lists it as uncharacterized. The transcript has 3 exons. The record is from RefSeq and is a predicted model, not a curated record. Lineage: Eukaryota; Metazoa; Chordata; Actinopteri; Syngnathiformes; Syngnathidae.
CAUCUUUAAAAAGGAGGUGUGGGUGUGGAGGUGGACUUCCAGCAGGUGUGUCUUCUUAUAAAAGGCCAGCCGGGAAGCUGCUGAGUGUGGCUCUCAACUCCAGUGCACGUCUGGACCCCAGGAUUGAGCAAGUGGAAGUGAAUCGUUAACGAGUCCAGCUUUACCGUAAAGAUGCCGUACGGAUACCCCGCCUAUCGACCAUACGGUGGUGGAUGCGGACCCUAUGGAAGGCCUGCUAUUGGAAUUAGACCCGGGUUUGGCUACGGGUAUGGCAACGGGUAUGGCCACGGGUAUGGCUACGGGCACGGCCACGGGUAUGGCUACGGGCACGGCUACGGGCACGGGUAUGGGCACGGGUAUGGGCACAGACAUGGCCACGUCCAUCAUGGAUGCAGCAUACAAUAACCACGUGUGAGCUUGGAAUGUACUUGUUAUAUUGAAGGCAUGUAUAUUGUCAACUAAUAAAAAAAAUGUAUCAUUCAA